GGCCUGGAGUCACCUUUCACCCCGUUGGCGUGCACGCUCGCCCCGUUACUGACGUCGUCCCGCGGGAUCCUCUGCCUCAGCCCGGGGCAGCCGUGCGCGGACGCGCCGUCGUCGUUCGCUUUAUCCGGAAACGUCCCCCGGACGCCACACAAGUGCUGGAACUUGGCCACCAGACGCGGGUCCUGGAGAUAAUGACACGUCUCCACAAACCUCUUGAAGGCGUCUGUCGCCAUUGUGUCAAAAUAAUACUUUACGUGAGGUUAUUCCGCCGCGCUCAUGAUCUCCCCGUUAGUCGAAAGAAUAAUAAUUACGGGGCGUUUAACAGACUAUCUCGCCGCACUCACGCACAGCGACCUUGUCGACCGGAAGAUUUGGAGGAGCAGCAUACAAAGUCCGCCGGAGCACAGUGUUACAUCACGGAGUGCGGUCAGGUUGACGAAGGCUGCCGCUAACUGCGUCAAGUCGCCGCUCUCAGGCCGUUAUGUUUCCAGCGACAAGUCCAAUUCUUCUUCGCUGGCCCAAACCGGUUCUUCGCUGCACGCUCCAAUGUUUGUGUUGAGUGCUGAGCGCUAUCUGCUGGACAAGCUAAGCAUUGCAAGGUAAUAGGAGUGGACAUGAGAGAGGGUUUCGUGCAAACAUUGGCAAAUAACGGCCCGUUGAACGUUUUAAUUCAGCCUGCGGAACUUGUCCAAAUUAUUGAAAAAAACUCUUAUCAAUGUUAAGGCUUCUGCCUCCCGUAUGCGUUUUUAGCAAUUGCCUAUCAUUAAAGGCCUACUGAAAUAAAUGGGUUAAAUGGGUUGUACUUGUAUAGCGGUUUUCUACCUUCAAGGUUCUCAAAGCGCUUUGACACUACUUCCACAUUUACCCAUUCACACACACAUUCACACACUGAUGGAGGGAGCUGACAUGCAGGGCGCUAACCAGCACCCAUCAGGAGCAAGGGUGAAGUGUCUUGCUCAGGACACAACGGACAUGACGAGUUUGGUACUAGGUGGGGAUUGAACCAGGAACCCUCGGGUUGCGCACGGCCACUGCUCCACUGCGCCACGCCUUCUUAUGUAAACGGGGAUAGAAGUUCCAUUCUAUGUGUCUCACUUGAUCAUUUCGCGAUAUUGCCAUAUUUUUGCUGAAAGGAUUUAGUAGAGAACAUCCACGAUAAAGAUUGCAACUUUCGGUGUUAAGAGAAAAGCCCUGCCUUUACCGGAAGUCGCAGACGAUGACGGCACACGUGUGGGGGCUCCCCACAUCCUCACAUUGUUUUUAAUGGGAGCCUCCAACAAAAAGUGCUAUUCGGACCGAGAAAACGACAAUUUCCCCAUUAAUUUGAGCGAGGAUGAAAGAUUCGUGUUUGAGGAUAUUGAUAGCGACGGACUAGAAAAAAAACAAUGAUUAAAAAAAAAAGUUAAAAAAAAAAACGCGAUUGCAUUGGGACUGAUCCCGAUGUUUUUAGAGACAUUUACCAGGAUAAUUCUGGGAAAUCCCUUAUUUUUUUAUUGUGUUGCUAGUGUUUUAGUGAGUUAAAUAGUACCUGAUAGUCGGAAAGGUGUCUCCACGGGUGUCUUGACAUGCAGUGUCUCAGGGGAGUCGGCGGCAGGUAUGGACGGCACAAGCUCAGCUUUUCUCCGUCCAACCUGAGGACCCGCUGACAGCGCAUUCCAGACACGCCCCCGCACUCAUCAAGCGGACCGCGCCCACUCUCUGCCGCAGCCGGCCGCAUUACACACCUGUGACUGAUGACGAGGAGCUGCUUAAGUGACCAGUGGACCCAGUGAUCCUGGCGGGAACUUAGUUAUAUACUGACGUUCAUGCCCCCCGUUGCCUGGAAAGAGAGCUGUGCGUCUCUCUUCUACCACUGGACUUUGACUGCCUCCUUCUAUCCUCGAACCCCCCGCUUUGGACUCGGAUCUCUUGACGCCCCUCUCAGCCCCACGGACCCCCGCUUGUAUCCCGGAUCACCUGCUUGUUCCCUUGGACGUUCCUUCACUCUCGUUAACACGUUGGUAACACACACUCCAGUUAAUUUACACACAUAGCCUCACACCACAUACACUUUUGAAUCUAGUUCACAUUCCAUUC
This is a long non-coding RNA of Nerophis ophidion (straightnose pipefish), 2076 nucleotides long. RefSeq lists it as uncharacterized. The record is from RefSeq and is a predicted model, not a curated record. The transcript is spliced from 3 exons. Lineage: Eukaryota; Metazoa; Chordata; Actinopteri; Syngnathiformes; Syngnathidae.